GAAAGAACAUGCUCCCCACUAAUACGCCCGGGGGGUAUGACGGGUACCCGGAAAAAAUAAGCCACCGGCUUAACUUAUGUGCCAGCAGCCGCGGUAANNCNUUAGGGUGCAAAGCGUUAAUCGGAAUUACUGGGCGUAAAGCGNGCGCAGGCGGUUGUUUAAGACNGAUGUGAAAUCCCCGGGCUUAACCUGGGAACUGCAUUUGANACUGCNCGGCUAGAGUGCGGAAGAGGGGAGUGGAAUUCCCCGUGUAGCAGUGAAAUGCGUAGAUAUGCGGAGGAACACCGAUGGCGAAGGCAGNUCCCUGGGCNUGCACUGACGCUGAUGCACGAAAGCGUGGGGAGCAAACAGGAUUAGAUACCCUGGUAGUCCACGCCCUAAACGAUG
RNAcentral lists this ribosomal RNA (387 nucleotides) under uncultured Caldimonas sp. RNAcentral describes it as "partial 16S ribosomal RNA". It matches the Rfam family "Bacterial small subunit ribosomal RNA", at positions 443 to 811 of the family's 1533-position model. The record is from RNAcentral. Lineage: Bacteria; Pseudomonadati; Pseudomonadota; Betaproteobacteria; Burkholderiales; Sphaerotilaceae.